GUCCUUUAGGACAAUGGUAGGAGAGCGUUCUAAGGGCGUUGAAGCAUGAUCGCAAGGACAUGUGGAGCGCUUAGAAGUGAGAAUGCCGGUGUGAGUAGCGCAAGACGGGUGAGAAUCCCGUCCACCGAUUGACUAAGGUUUCCAGAGGAAGGCUCGUCCGCUCUGGGUUAGUCGGGUCCUAAGCUGAGGCCGACAGGCGAAAGCGAUGGAUAACAGGUUGACAUUCCU
This 228-nucleotide ribosomal RNA is filed under the name Staphylococcus chromogenes. RNAcentral's name for it is "partial 23S ribosomal RNA". It matches the Rfam family "Bacterial large subunit ribosomal RNA", at positions 1209 to 1440 of the family's 2925-position model. The record is from RNAcentral. Lineage: Bacteria; Bacillati; Bacillota; Bacilli; Caryophanales; Staphylococcaceae.